RNAcentral lists this ribosomal RNA (619 nucleotides) under uncultured bacterium. RNAcentral's name for it is "bacterial SSU rRNA". The stretch from base 1 to 543 matches the Rfam family "Bacterial small subunit ribosomal RNA", at positions 338 to 873 of the family's 1533-position model. The record is from RNAcentral.
CCUACGGGAGGCAGCAGUGGGGAAUUUUGGACAAUGGGGGCAACCCUGAUCCAGCAAUGCCGCGUGAGUGAAGAAGGCCUUCGGGUUGUAAAGCUCUUUUGUCAGGGAAGAAACGGUGCGGGCUAAUAUCCCGUGCUAAUGACGGUACCUGAAGAAUAAGCACCGGCUAACUACGUGCCAGCAGCCGCGGUAAUACGUAGGGUGCAAGCGUUAAUCGGAAUUACUGGGCGUAAAGCGUGCGCAGGCGGUUUUGUAAGACUGUCGUGAAAUCCCCGGGCUCAACCUGGGAAUGGCGAUGGUGACUGCAAGGCUAGAGUUUGGCAGAGGGGGGUAGAAUUCCACGUGUAGCAGUGAAAUGCGUAGAUAUGUGGAGGAACACCGAUGGCGAAGGCAGCCCCCUGGGUCAAAACUGACGCUCAUGCACGAAAGCGUGGGGAGCAAACAGGAUUAGAUACCCUGGUAGUCCACGCCCUAAACGAUGUCUACUAGUUGUACGGGUUUUAAUAACUUGGUAACGCAGACUACGUACGUGAGUAGACCGCCGUCGGGAGGUACGGUCGCGAGAUAACUACAANAGAGUAGUAGCGUGAGACGUGCGACGACGACGACGAGGGAGAGG